CGGAGGGGGCAAGCGUUGUUCGGAAUUACUGGGCGUAAAGGGCGCGUAGGCGGCCUGCUAAGUCGAACGUGAAAUCCCCGGGCUCAACCCGGGAACUGCGUCCGAUACUGACAGGCUUGAAUCCGGGAGAGGGAUGUGGAAUUCCAGGUGUAGCGGUGAAAUGCGUAGAUAUCUGGAGGAACACCGGUGGCGAAGGCGGCAUCCCGGACCGGUAUUGACGCUGAUGCGCGAAAGCCAGGGGAGCAAACGGGAUUAGAUACCCCGGUAGUCCUGGCCCUAAACGAUGAAUGCUUGGUGUGGCGGGUAUCGAUCCCUGCCGUGCCGAAGCUAACGCAUUAAGCAUUCCGCCUGGGGAGUACGGUCGCAAGGCUG
RNAcentral lists this ribosomal RNA (372 nucleotides) under uncultured organism. Its description in RNAcentral is "bacterial SSU rRNA". It matches the Rfam family "Bacterial small subunit ribosomal RNA", at positions 526 to 896 of the family's 1533-position model. The record is from RNAcentral.